GAGCAGGACCAACCAUCCUUCAGUCCCUUUGCCACUACAGAAUCCCAGAGAAGUAGUACUGGAAAGAAGGAUGGGCCAUGGAAUCUAUUUGGACAACACAUCCUGAAGAAACACAGUUACUGUAAGCAGCAUCAAAGUAUACCUUCCAGGCUUCAUCUCCUUUCACUUCAGGGAUUUUUACACUACCAUUAGAUUUAACUUCAGUCAAAUAAUGGAAUAGGUUCUAAAGGUAUUUCCGUCUUCACCAAAGGCCUCAAAGGCAUCCAUGCCUGAGGGGAAACACCAAGUUCGUGCAUAGGCGUGAUUCCUCAACUGGGGCUGAAUCAUACUGAAGAAAACAUCUGGAGAACUUCCAUGAAGCCAUCUAUAUUAGUCUAUCCAGUUACUACUGCUUCUAAUGCUGACAGCUGUUCUUUGAUUUCACCUAUUAUUAUUCCAGUCCAUUCAAGCAGUGUAAUCUGAUUUAACAAGCAUGACUUUUUUUUUUUAAUAAAUCUUUUGUACAGUGCUGUGAAAUGAA
Molecule: long non-coding RNA, 520 nt
Organism: Mauremys reevesii (Reeves's turtle)
Lineage: Eukaryota; Metazoa; Chordata; Testudines; Geoemydidae
Exons: 3
Source: RefSeq, a predicted model, not a curated record